UACGUAGGGGGCUAGCGUUGUCCGGAAUCAUUGGGCGUAAAGCGCGCGUAGGCGGCCCGGUAAGUCCGCUGUGAAAGUCAAAGGCUCAACCUUUGAAUAUCAGCGGAUACUGCCGGGCUAGAGUCCGGAAGAGGCGAGUGGAACUCCUGGUGUAGCGGUGGAAUGCGCAGAUAUCAGGAAGAACACCAACGGCGAAGGCAGCUCGCUGGGACGGAACUGACGCUAAGGCGCGAAAGCGUGGGGAGCGAACAGG
This 253-nucleotide ribosomal RNA is filed under the name uncultured bacterium. RNAcentral's name for it is "partial 16S ribosomal RNA". It matches the Rfam family "Bacterial small subunit ribosomal RNA", at positions 524 to 776 of the family's 1533-position model. The record is from RNAcentral.